UAGGGAAUCUUCCGCAAUGGGCGAAAGCCUGACGGAGCAACGCCGCGUGAGUGAUGAAGGUCUUCGGAUCGUAAAACUCUGUUACUAGGGAAGAACAAAUGUGUAAGUAACUAUGCACGUCUUGACGGUACCUAAUCAGAAAGCCACGGCUAACUACGUGCCAGCAGCCGCGGUAAUACGUAGGUGGCAAGCGUUAUCCGGAAUUAUUGGGCGUAAAGCGCGCGUAGGCGGUUUUUUAAGUCUGAUGUGAAAGCCCACGGCUCAACCGUGGAGGGGCAUUGGAGACUGGAAAGCUUGAGUGCAGAAGAGGAAAGUGGAAUUCCAUGUGUAGCGGUGAAAUGCGCAGAGAUAUGGAGGAACACCAGUGGCGAAGGCGACUUUCUGGUCUGUAACUGACGCUGAUGUGCGAAAGCGUGGGGAUCAAACAGG
This 429-nucleotide ribosomal RNA is filed under the name Actinomycetes bacterium. RNAcentral's name for it is "Actinobacteria bacterium partial 16S ribosomal RNA". It matches the Rfam family "Bacterial small subunit ribosomal RNA", at positions 355 to 776 of the family's 1533-position model. Lineage: Bacteria; Bacillati; Actinomycetota; Actinomycetes. The record is from RNAcentral.